RNAcentral lists this ribosomal RNA (502 nucleotides) under uncultured bacterium. Its description in RNAcentral is "bacterial SSU rRNA". It matches the Rfam family "Bacterial small subunit ribosomal RNA", at positions 1034 to 1532 of the family's 1533-position model. The record is from RNAcentral.
UAAGGUUCUGCAUGUCUGUCGUCAGUCUCGUGUCCGUGAGGUGUUGGGUUUAAGUCCCGCUACGAGCGCAACCCCUAUCACUAGCUUGCCAUCCGGUAAUGCUGGGAACUCUAGUGAAUACUGCCNCCGCAAUGGCGUGAGGAUAGGAGGGGAUGAUGUCAAGUCAUCAUGGCCUNUUAUGCCCAGGUGCUACACACGUGCUACAUAUGGCAGAUACAAAGGGUUGCUACCUGGUAACAGGAUGCUAAUCUCANAAAAUCCUGUCUCAGUUCGAAUUGAGGUCUGCAACUCGACCUCAUGAAGCUGGAAUCGCUAGUAAUCGUAGAUCAGCAAUGCUACGGUGAAUACGUUCCCGGACCUUGUACACACCGCCCGUCAAGCCAUGGAAGCUGGGUGUACCCAAAGUCGAUAACCGCAAGGAGUCGCCUAGGGUAAAACUAGUAACUGGGGCUAAGUCGUAACAAGGUAGCCGUAUCGGAAGGUGCGGCUGGAUCACCUCCUU